UACGAAGGGGGCUAGCGUUGCUCGGAAUCACUGGGCGUAAAGGGUGCGUAGGCGGGUCUUUAAGUCAGGGGUGAAAUCCUGGAGCUCAACUCCAGAACUGCCUUUGAUACUGAGGAUCUUGAGUUCGGGAAAGGUGAGUGGAACUGCGAGUGUAGAGGUGAAAUUCGUAGAUAUUCGCAAGAACACCAGUGGCGAAGGCGGCUCACUGGCCCGAUACUGACGCUGAGGCACGAAAGCGUGGGGAGCAAACAGG
RNAcentral lists this ribosomal RNA (253 nucleotides) under uncultured bacterium. RNAcentral describes it as "partial 16S ribosomal RNA". It matches the Rfam family "Bacterial small subunit ribosomal RNA", at positions 524 to 776 of the family's 1533-position model. The record is from RNAcentral.